GGAAUAUUGGACAAUGGGCGAAAGCCUGAUCCAGCCAUGCCGCGUGUGUGAAGAAGGUCUUCGGAUUGUAAAGCACUUUAAGUUGGGAGGAAGGGCAGUAAGCGAAUACCUUGCUGUUUUGACGUUACCGACCGAAUAAGCACCGGCUAACUCUGUGCCAGCAGCCGCGGUAAUACAGAGGGUGCGAGCGUUAAUCGGAAUUACUGGGCGUAAAGCGCGCGUAGGCGGCUUCGCAAGUCGGGUGUGAAAUCCCCAGGCUUAACCUGGGAACUGCAUUCGAGACUGCGUUGCUAGAGUAUGGGAGAGGGAAGUGGAAUUUCCGGUGUAGCGGUGAAAUGCGUAGAUAUCGGAAGGAACAUCAGUGGCGAAAGCGACUUCCUGGACCAAUACUGACGCUCAGGUGCGAAAGCGUGGGGAGCAAA
Molecule: ribosomal RNA, 422 nt
Filed under: uncultured bacterium
Lineage: Bacteria
Description: bacterial SSU rRNA
Rfam family: Bacterial small subunit ribosomal RNA
Source: RNAcentral